CGAACAUCCAUUAUAUCAUUUGAUAUUUAGAUUUCUAAUAAUUUUAAAUAUAGCUGUACAUAUUUGUAUUGUUUAUGUUCAAACUCAAUAUAAAAAUCGUCGAUAUGUACGAUGCUUUGUGUGACAAUCAAUUAGUGUGUUUCCCUUGCCGACUACAACAGAGCGUGAAAGGGAGAGCCGUUGCACUUCAUACGCAUAGAAAGUUUCACACCUGUACUCCAGUCGACAGCAUUACAAGAUGACCGGCACCUACUCGUUCAUUCGACAGUUACUCUACUACCAGCGGAACACAUCCGUCCGACAUUCGACAUGAUUAGCGGACUGAACACGGCGUCGCACAUCACCCCUUUGUUGGAGUACAUGUACAACACAUGGAUAAACUCAACGGUGAGGCCUGUCGAGUCCUGGUCUGUAUAUGGACACACCGUGCGAACCAUCAAUGACGUGGAAGAGAUGCAGUACCUUCUACAAGACGGUGGUAGCCAAGAGAACAGAAGAAAAUCCAGUGAAUCCAGUGAAUUAGGAUAAUGAACAUUGCCGGUCUUGGUCGAUACAAUACAUGUGUUAUGGUAUGUUAUUUAGAUAUCAAUUCAGAUAUCGAUUUCGAUUUGCGUUUUUAAUACAUUUUAGCAAUUGUCAACUAUUUAAAAACUGAUUGAUAAAAGGAGAAAUGACUCUUACUCAUAAUCUUAGUCAUUUAUCUCUUGUUAAUUAUUAAGUAUGAUUAUGUAACAUGUAUAUCGUCAUGCGCAUUUUUCAUACAUUUUUAACAAUUGUCAA
Molecule: long non-coding RNA, 780 nt
Organism: Dreissena polymorpha
Lineage: Eukaryota; Metazoa; Mollusca; Bivalvia; Myida; Dreissenidae
Exons: 4
Source: RefSeq, a predicted model, not a curated record